This 216-nucleotide ribosomal RNA is filed under the name Glomeraceae sp. RNAcentral describes it as "partial small subunit ribosomal RNA". The stretch from base 87 to 216 matches the Rfam family "Eukaryotic small subunit ribosomal RNA", at positions 733 to 864 of the family's 1831-position model. The record is from RNAcentral. Lineage: Eukaryota; Fungi; Glomeromycota; Glomeromycetes; Glomerales; Glomeraceae.
GGAUCAGUACGCUGGUCGUGCCUUCGGUAUGCACUGGUGUCACUGAUUCCUCCCUUCUGAAGAACCGUAAUGCCAUUCAGUUGGUGUUGCGGGGAAUCAGGACUGUUACUUUGAAAAAAUUAGAGUGUUUAAAGCAGGCUUGCGCUUGAAUACAUUAGCAUGGAAUAAUGAAAUAGGACGUUUGAUCCUAUUUUGUUGGUUUCUAGGAUUGACGUA